UACGGAGGGAGCAAACGUUGUUCGGAUUCACUGGGCGUAAAGGGCGUGUAGGCGGUCUAGCAAGUCAGGGGUGAAAUACCACGGCUCAACCGUGGAAUUGCCUUUGAUACUACUGGACUUGAGGCCGUGAGAGGAGACUGGAAUUCCCAGUGUAGCGGUGAAAUGCAUAGAUAUUGGGAAGAACACCAGUGGCGAAGGCGAGUCUCUGGCACGGUUCUGACGCUGAGGCGCGAAAGCUAGGGGAGCAAACGGG
RNAcentral lists this ribosomal RNA (253 nucleotides) under uncultured bacterium. RNAcentral's name for it is "partial 16S ribosomal RNA". It matches the Rfam family "Bacterial small subunit ribosomal RNA", at positions 524 to 776 of the family's 1533-position model. The record is from RNAcentral.